CAGAGAGACGGAUACAAACCAUCAUUCAGUCCACGGACGCCGCCGCCGCCGCCGUCACUGGUUAAAGCGGCUGCAAAAGACACGCAACAGAGGCAGCGCAACGGAAGGGUCUGCAAGAGAGAGAGAGAGAGAGAGAGAGAGAGAGAGAGGCGGGCGUUGGGCGAGAGUCACUGGGCGAGGGGGAGGCGGAGAGAACCGGCGCCGCGACCCGGCACGUGCGUGCUCCAGGCGGCGGCAAGGGAAAGGGCGCUCGACCUGCCUUGGCAACGCCGCCCAGCCACGGGAGCGGCCUGGAGCCGCUGUUGAGCACCGCCGCAGGGAAGUAGCAGAGUCCAACAACAAUAGAAACUGGUAAUGAAGAAGCUGUGCAAGAGAAGGAAUUCUGCUACCUAGGCUUCACAGUAUAUGAAGAUAAGGGCUGUACCAAAACAUCUGGAAAAGCUUGGCAAAGACUCAUAAAAACUAAGAGCAUGCGAAAGGGAGUGACACAACUGUAAAGCUAGUGCUGUGGCUUAUUGUUGUGUGUAGAAAAUAAAAGAUGCCUGACAGCUGUGUGAAAAGGGAAAGCUGGGUGGCCAACUUAAGGCUUAACUUGGCAAUACAAAUUGCUGCAUAACAUAUAUGUGUGAACCAGUGGAUCAUGCUACAAUGCUGUCUUUCCUCACCCAUACAGCUGGCAUAAUACGCUGACUAGUGUCAAUCAGGCACUAUCCUUUUCAAGAUACUUAGAUUUUGGGUUGAAUAUGAAUGUACCAUAUUAUUACAUGAUGUUAGAAUAUUGACCCUGACUCUUACUAAAAGUUUUGGGGCAAGAGACUACCCAACCCAGGUAAUUGUACAUUUUAACAAACAUAACUGUGAUCCACUGACUAAAGUGCUGUUCAAAAGCAAGGCAUCUGUUUUAUUUACAUUCACUCUUAACACUCAUUUGGAGCUCAUUUAAAACCACUUCAGACUGGAAAGUAUUGCUAGACAUUGUUGGCUGAGUUGUAGUCUUCAAAGCAAAGUUAAUCUUCUGAGCAUGCCCAGUGUGGACUAGAUGGCUACAGAAGCCUGAGCUGAACAGAUUAAGCUGAGUGCUGAAGAAUUAAUAAAGUGUGCUUUGCCUUCUCUUAUGACUAUUUUGAACAUAUGGGCCAUUCUGUUUCCUGAGUGGCUACUAAAUGUUUUGAGACACUUAUAACUGGACAUUAACAUAUAGCUAGAGGUAGUUGAAAGUGGGCAAUAUUAGUAUAGGUAGUUAUGAUGAUAAUUACUGCUUCAUUACUUUUUUAUGCAGCAUUUUUACUUGCAUUUUCAAAUGUAUGCCUUGCAACUUUAAAAUUGAACACUUUUUUAAAAGAUACCAGUUUUCAGAAAUAUUAAUGUUGGAAAAACCUGCACUAAGCACAAAAAGGAAUUGGUAAGAUGCAGUACAGUACGUAUUUUGCAUGCAGCCCUGAAUAGUUUUGCUUCGCAGUUCUAGACAGAAUUCUCCUCUCCACAAGUAAUUUUUUCUUAACUCCCUUUGGAGGUCAUGCCAGCAUGGAAGUAAGUCAAUCUGAGUCAGCACAGAUAGUAGCUGUAUCGUUAUUCACACUUUAAAGCAAAACUAAUAUAUUUUUUCAAUUAUGGACAAAGAAUUCACAACUGCCUUUUCAACAUAUUGAGUUUCAGCUGUUUAAAAUAAUCCGUUAGAUAAAUGCCCUUUUCAAAACAAGAAAAGGAGAUUUCAGUUCACAAUGAAAAACCCAUCAUUUCAGUUAAUAAAAAACACUUGUUAAAGCAAAGAUCAGCCAUGGUGGAAAUGUAAGUUUAAAAUGAUCUGGACUAAAUGGAUGUGUAAUAAAAAACCUCUCAACAGAGAGGAAACAUUUUUACAAUU
Long non-coding RNA from Dermochelys coriacea (leatherback sea turtle), 1864 nucleotides. RefSeq lists it as uncharacterized. The transcript has 2 exons. Lineage: Eukaryota; Metazoa; Chordata; Testudines; Dermochelyidae. The record is from RefSeq and is a predicted model, not a curated record.